RNAcentral lists this ribosomal RNA (497 nucleotides) under uncultured bacterium. Its description in RNAcentral is "partial 16S ribosomal RNA". It matches the Rfam family "Bacterial small subunit ribosomal RNA", at positions 28 to 507 of the family's 1533-position model. The record is from RNAcentral.
GAUGAACGCUGGCGGCGUGCCUAAUACAUGCAAGUCGAGCGAACGGACGAGAAGCUUGCUUCUCUGAUGUUAGCGGCGGACGGGUGAGUAACACGUGGAUAACCUACCUAUAAGACUGGGAUAACUUCGGGAAACCGGAGCUAAUACCGGAUGAUAUUUUGAACCGCAUGGAUCAAAAGUGAUAGACGGUCUUGCUGUCACUUAGAGAUGGAUCCGCGCUGCAUUAGCUAGUUGGUAAGGUAACGGCUUACCAAGGCAACGAUGCAUAGCCGACCUGAGAGGGUGAUCGGCCACACUGGAACUGAGACACGGUCCAGACUCCUACGGGAGGCAGCAGUAGGGAAUCUUCCGCAAUGGGCGAAAGCCUGACGGAGCAACGCCGCGUGAGUGAUGAAGGUCUUCGGAUCGUAAAACUCUGUUAUUAGGGAAGAACAGAUGUGUAAGUAACUGUGCACAUCUUGACGGUACCUAAUCAGAAAGCCACGGCUAACUACGUG